UCGGCUAGCGUUAUUUCAUUUUCUGUUCUUGCAAACUUUGAAAACCUGUAAAAUAGUUUAUAUAUAGUUAGUAGUUUCUUAGUUAAACCCUUAAUAGUAGUUUUCAACUCUUCGUUAGUCCUGAAUGGGACUCAGCCGGGGGAUGCCCCAGUCCAGAAGCUUUAAGCCCUGCAAUGGCUGUAAACAGCCUAUGCCCAUCAGCGAUCCACAUACCAGCUGCCUAAGGUGCUUAGGCACAGGGCACAUAAGUGACAAGUGCUGUAUCUGCAAGUCCUUUAAACCUAGGACGAAGGAGCAUGAAACUCGUCUAAGGCGCUCCUAAUGGAGUUGGCACUCACUCCAGCAGUGAGUCAUGGCCUCCGUGCGCAGUGCUCUGCCGGCGCCGUCCACGAGCCAGCACUGGUGUCCCUCCAUGGCUCCAGUCAUGAAGCUGAAGAAGAAAGUGAAGGGAUGAUCUACCUCCUGCAAGGGAAAGGAGAGGGCUGGGGGCGAGCCAUGACCUGUACUGGGCAGCUCAAUGCCCCCUUCAGGAAGUCGGGCCCCAGCUCAAGUUGAGCGGUGCAGCCCAUCCUGUACUUUGCUUGCAACUCCAGAUAGCGUCAUGCCUCGGGACUAGAGCAGCAGGCUCAGUGGAGCCCCCUUCAGUCCCUGCACUGGGGACACCAAUGGAGGGAUUCGAGGCAUUCCUCACUGGCGGAUUGGCACAGACCCUCUAGGGCACAUGCUGCCCGGGAAGAUCUCAGGGAUUGACCCUGACCAUCUCCAAAGGCCUGAUACUGAUCACAGGACUGAUCGGGGAGCAGAGUCCACCAAUCACCCAGCCAUUGUCCGUCUCCUAGGAGAUUGCCCUUUUCACAAAGUUCCUCCCGACAGCUGGCCUGUAGUGGCUCCUGGUCCUGGUCAAGCAGCAUGAGGUGUAGAUUGCCAGGUUUCCAACACGGAUCCUCCAAACGCCAUCAGUUUCUGAAAACCCGACCAAGACACCAGUCUUUCGGACAGGUCUGCUUUGGGUCACAGCGACCGGCACCGCAGUCUUGGACAAGAGCCACCUGUUCCUGGUUGCUUGGUACCAACCACUCCGCUUACAGCUCCAACACAAAGCAAUGUUCCCUGGCUGUGGGACAAGCCCCAGUACCUACAGUGACGCCAGCAUCGACGGCACUGAAACCUGUUCCAUGGCCUCAAGGGCCAUGGCCGGUGCCAUAGUACCUGUGGAACCCUUGGGGGUUCACCCAACCAUCCCAAGCUGCCUGAUCAGUGUCAGGAGCCUCAGAGGCCAGCAGCCUUGGUAUCCCAUCCCCUUCCAGUGCUCGACGCUUCAGGGGGAAGGAAUCCGUAGGUCCAGGAGGACCCAGGGGAGCAAGCUGCUGGACCACCAGUGGACAUGGAGGUUCCCGCAGCACCAGCAUCGUCCUCAUCGUCACCAAACCAGGCUAUCAUGGGGCCCCCUCACCCAGUUCCUCAGGUUGACGCCAAGGUGCACCAGGAACUUUUGAAGAGGGUCACUUCCAACCUGGGGCUUCAGGCAGAGGAACUGGAAUAGCUCUUAGACUCUGUUUGAUGUCCUCUGCUCCUGCCAGGGUGGCCCUAGCCUUUCGUGAAGGGGUUUCCAAAAUCACUAAUGUCCUGUGGCUGACCCCCUCUUCCUUGGCCCAUAUCUCUGACUGCCGAACACAAGUACUUUGUGCAAACCAAGGGGCAUGAGUACUUAUACUCCCACCCAGCCCCUAAUUCCCUUGUGGUAGGAGAAGUUAACCACAAAGACAGGCCAGGGCAACCGGGGCCACCCCCAAAAAUAAAGACUUGAAUAAAUCUUAUGUCCAAAGAGUUCCAGCCUUCUCAUCUUCUAGCCUUCAACGGAGAGAGGCCAACCAUCAAGCCCUCUUUGGCUGGUAUGACUUUAAUAUGUGGCAAGCCGUGGCCAAGUUUGAAGGGUCGCUCCCCGAGGCUUCCAAGAAGGAGUUAUGAGCAACCCUCAUUGAGGGCACGACCGCGAGCAGGGCAGCCCUCCAGGUGGCAUAAGAUGCCACUGAUGCUGCUGCCCACACCAUGGCUUCCGCAUCUCCAUGCAGCAAGCCUCCUGGCUGCUCCUCUCUGGGCUCUCCUCUGAGGCUCAGCAGUCAAUGCAGCACUUGCCCUUUGACAGCUGAGCCCUAUUUGUGGAGCAAACAGACAGCAAAUUGCAUGGCCUAAAGGACUCCCGCACCACCCUGAAAACCCUGGGUCUUUACGUCCGAGCCCCAGCAUGUAAGCAGUUCAGACCGCAGCAGCCGUAGGGCCAGGGGAGCCAGCCUCAGCAGCCCCACAAAUGAGCCAAUGGCUACAGGCAACGUCCGAGCCACCCACUUCCAUCUUCUGCCCAGUCAGGCCCGACCCAUGCCAAGCAAGGGACCAAAUGGUCAUUUGAGGGUGGCCUACCAGACUAUUCCCUGAAUCUAUCUGUCCCAGUGUUCUCCAACUGCGUUUCCCUUUUUCUCCCUCCUUGGACUGCUAUAACCUUGGACCGAUUGUUCCUCAGUACAGUGGAACAGGGUUAUAUUCUCCAGUUCCUUUCUACCCCCCCUCCCACCCACCUUCCCCAUCCUUCUUCAGAGACCCCUCUGAUGAGUCGCCUUGCACAGGAGGUAAAGGGGUUGCUACAGCUGGGUGCGGUGGGAGAAGUUCCUCUCGAGUACAGGAACAAGGGGUUCUAUUCCCAGUACUUUUUAAUCCCAGAGGCCAAGAGUGGUCUAUGGCCCAUCCUGGACCUGCGAGACCUCAACAAAUACCUAAAGAAGUUCCGCAUGGUUUCCCUGGCUUCUGUUAUCCCCUCCCUGGUUCUGGGAGACUGGUAUGCUGCCCUCAACUUGAAAGACGCAUACUUCCACAUAGGUGAUCUUUCAAGAACACAGAUGCUUCUUCCAGUUUACGGUGGGGCCCCACCACUACCAGUUUGCGGUCCUCCCAUUAGGCCUGGUGACAGCACCGAGAGUGUUUCACCAAGUGCAUGUCGGUGGUAGCGGCUUACCUCAGGCUCUGGGGUAUCCCGAUCUAUCCGUACCUUGAUGAUUGAGGGUAGUUCCAGGUCUUAAGUCCAAAGGGAUGAUGUGGUGCUUCAAGCCACGUGCCACUCUCUGGGCCUUCUGGUAAACGACAAAAAGUUGCCAUUAAUGCUGGUGCAGAGGGUAGAGUUAAUCAUAGUGGUUCUCAACUUGACCUGCACCAGGGUGUUCCUACCAUGGGACAAGUUCCACACGCUGACGAACCUCAUCGUGGAAGUCUCCGUGAUCCCUCUGACUACAGCCAGGGUUUAUCUGUGCCUGCUGAGCCACAUGGCGGCGUGCACUUAUGUGAUCCACCAUACCCAGCUCUGGAUGUGGCUCCUGCAACAGUGGCUGGGAAUGGUCUAUUCCCAGUCCCAAGACCCUCUGGAAAAGAUCGUUACCAUUCCGGGUGAUACUUACCUCGCUGCGAUGGUGGACCGAUCACGAGACUGUCCUGGAGGGGUUCCAUUCGACAACCCCCAUCACUCCAUCAAGUUGGUGUCGGACGCCUAAGACCUCCAGACACAGGGGAUGAGGUCUCCGAAGGAGGUGAAGUAGCACAUAAAUGGCAAAGAGCUCCGAGCAGUCCGGCUGGCGUGCGGUGUCUUCCUGCCCCAACUGUUGGGCAAGGUGGUAUGGGUCCUGAUGGACAACACAGCCUCGAUGUUCUAUAUCAACAGGCAAGGGAGGGCACGCCCAUUGGCUCUCUGUCAAGAGGCCCUCCAUCUGUGGGACUUCUGCAUCAGCCACAAAAUCUAUCUGGAAGCUUGUCACCUUCCUGGCGUCAAGAAUACACUGGCGGACCAACUCAGCAGGGACGUCUUCUCUCACCACGAGUGCUCACUCCAUCCAGAGGUAGCCUGCAUGAUCUUCCAAAGGUGAGGAACUUCCUAAGUGGACUUGUUCGCCACCAGACAGAACAGGAAAUGCCACCGGUUCUGUUCUCUCCAAGGUCUGAGCAAGGUCAGGCUCCCUCUCUGAUGUCUUUGUCCUCUUGUGGUCAGGAAGCCUGAUGUAAACGUUCAGUCCAAUUCCACUCAUCAGCAGAGUCCUGGCAAAGAUCAAGAGACAAAGUGCAGGUUGUCGUGAUUGCCCUGGCGUGGCCUCACCAGUGUUGGUUCGGCAUGCUCAUGAGUUUGUCAGCAUCCCCUCCCUGGCCCCUACCCAACCAACCGGACCUGCUGUCACAGGACCACGGUUGGCUCCUACACUCCAACCCCCAGUCCCUCCACUUCUUGAUGUGGAUGUGUGUGGCUCAACCCGGAGGAGAGGACUUGUUCGGAAGGAGUCCAAUAGGUCCUUCUGGAAGUAGAAAGCCCUCAACUAGACUGACUUACCUGGCCAAGAGGAUGAGGUUUUCCCGCUGGGCAUCCAAGCGUGGCAUCUCUCCCUCGUGUUCUUCUAUACAGGCUGUUCUGGACUGCCUGCUCCAUUUGAGGAACCAGGGCCUGGCACACUCUUCCAUUAGAGGGCAUCUUGUGGCCAUCUCUGCUUUUCACUCGCCAAUCUAAGGACAGGCAGUGUUUUCCCAUGACGUGACAAUCAUGACAUGACAUGAGAGGGCUCAAGAGAUUCUUCCCGCAAGUGUGGGCUCCUGUCCCACAGUGGACCUUAACUUGGUCCUCUCUAGGCUCACUGGCUCACCCUUCGAGCUGCUGGGUUCCUGCUCCUUUUCCCACCUGUCAUGGAAGGUCGCAUUCCUUGUGGUGGUGACAUCCGCGAGACAGGUCUCUGAAAUUCAAGCCGUGACCUCAGAACUACUGUACACAGUCUUCUGCAAAGACAAAGUUCAGCUGUGGUCCCACCCAGCCUUCCUUCCGAAGGUGGUAUCCACCUUCCAUAUGAACCAGGACAUCUUCCUCCUGGUGUUCUGUCCCAAACCACACACGACCAGUAAAGAGAGGCAACUUCACACUCUGGAUGUCUGAAGGGCCUUGGCUUUUUACUUAGAACAUACCAAGCCCUUCUGUAAAUCAACUCAGCUCUUCAUCGCUACAGCAGACAGGAAGGAAGGGCCUUCCGGUGUCCUCCCAGAGGAUUUCCAGUUGGAUCACCUCAUGCAUAAGGAGCUGUUAAGACCUGGCGGAGGUUCCACUGCCACUGAUUGUCAGAGCCCACUCGAUGAGAGCUCAGGAGUCUUUGGGAGCCUUCCUGGUGCACAUCCGUAUCCAGAACAUCUGUAGAGCCACAAUGUGGUCCUCUGUUCACAUGUUUACCACUCACUAUGCCAUCGCUCAGCAGGCCAGGGAUGAUGCUGAGUUUGGCAGAGCUGUGUUGCAAUCUACACAUCCAUUAACUCCUACCCACCUUCAAGGGUACUGCUGUGGAGUCACCUAAUAUGGACUGGACAUGAGUAAGCAUUUGAAGAAGAAAAAAGUUAUCUUUUCCAUAACUGGUAUUCUUUUGAGAUGUGUUGCUCAUGUCCAUUCCACAGCCUGCCCUCCUUCCCCGCUGUCUGAGUAUCUGGCAAGAAGGAACUGAGCGUGAGGGGAGCCAGCAGUGCUCCUUAUACCGCGCCAUGCGGGCGCCACUCCAGAGGGCACCAGAGCCGGUCUCCUACGGAUACCGCUAAGGGAAACAGUUCCGGCCCUGGUGCACACAUGAGCAUGCACACCUAAUAUGGAAUGGACAUGAGCAACACAUCUUGAACACCAGUUAUGGAAAAGGUAACUAUCUGUUUCCUCCAGGUGGCGGUAUUGGCAAAGGCAUAAAUCCAUUCUGGGAAUUAAAAGGCUCUGUCCCAUGCAAGUGUGGAAUAUCUUAAAGGUAAUGUUUCUCUUGAAAAAUAAUAGCCAAGAUUGUUAAAAACAGGUGCAUAAAGUUAGGUUCCUAAAUCCAUAUUUAGGCAUGUAAAUAAGAUGCCUAAUUUUCCAUAAGCACUGAGCAGCUUCAGCUCCCACUGAAAUCAAGUACUGAAUUGGUUUGUUUAAUGAUAGAAAAUUUUAGAAUUGUUCUACAGCUAGGAAAAUUUUUGUAACAGUUCAAAGUCUCUCCUUCAUUGUCAUUUAUUUUUAAAAGCACUACUUGAGACCAGUUCAAUCAAAGUUUCUCUAACAUAUUUUACUUUGGGAAUUUUAAAUAAGUAGUUGUAUGUUCAUUCAAAACACUUCUGCCUUUAGGAGUCUGAUAUCUGUACAUAGUUUUUGCUGCCAUAGCAAAACAAUACACCUUAAUUUUUUGUAUGUAUAUUUGAAAUUACAAGUCAUACCAUUUAAAAGCUUUUCUGUUUUUCAUAACGUGAUUCUUAUGAAUCCUCUUAAUUCUGCUUUAGAAGUCUCAAGAUUUCUUCUUUUCUGUAUUUGACAAUGUGACACUGUUGUUACAUCCAGUUCCUAACAAUAUUAAGCAACAUUUUAUAUAUAAAAUAUACAUGAUAAAUACUAUAAUCUAUUUUAUUAUAUGUAAAGUAAUAGGAAUUUUAUUAGUAGUGAAAGAAAUCUGCCGGGGGGGGGAGGGGAACCUUGUGUGCUAAUAAAAUGUUUCCAUCAUGUUUUAGGAAUACUAUCAACUUGAUUGAUUUUUUUUUUUAAAUAACAGGUUUUUAAUACUGCAGUUUUUUCUGUUGUGCUCUUUAAAUAGCAUGUCAGCUCCUGUGUCAACAUCUGAAUCUCUUUGGCUGGAAAGAAACAUAACUGCACAAAAAUAUACAGCAAAAAAAAAAAGAGGUGAUUGCAGGGCAUGUAACUUUGUUUCUUAUAAUAACAUUUUUGUUACUUUAAACUAGAAUGGGUAUGAAAGUUUCUGACAGGAGUGUGAUUUUUUUUUUUUUCCCAAGCUGACAGUGUUCGUGUAACACUUUCUAUAGAUCGGUAGGUAAGAAGAUUGAUAUUAGGCACAGAGCAAAGACUGCUUUGAAAAAUGAAGUCACACAAUGAAAGAAAAGGCUUCUUUAAAAAUGAAUGAAAGAAUUCAACAGUGUGAUAGAUUAUAUAUAGGCACUUUAUUUACUUUUUUCAGAUAUCUGAGGGCAGAAUCUGCUGCAGUGGAAAUGCAGACCCUUGCACAAAGCUCUUGAUGUAAAGAAAGGAAUUUCCUCACAAAAAUCAAGACAACACACAUCCCACCAGACAUCUGCAAAAGCAGCAUCUUUUAAGACCAAAAAAUAAUCAUUUUAAAGGCAUCAGCCCUGAAAUCAUAAAGGUAAAUUCCCACUCCUUGAGGUAAGUUUACAUUCUUGGUCUCACCUUCUUUAGUAAUGACAUCCGCAGUCUCUGCAGCUUUAUCUUUCAGAUCCUUCACAACGCUGUCCAAUUGAGCCUCGUGCUUCAAGAAGAAAGGGCGAAUAAUUCGGUGGUAGAGAAACUCUGCUCCAUUGGAAGGGCUUGGAGCCAUGCACCAUAGCAGAAAGCCACACUGCUCAGAAAAAACAAUCAAUAUUGGUGUUGAGAGAGGAAGGAUGAGAUUCAGAAGAUCUGGGUUCUGUCCCUUACUCUGCCACAGACUCAGUGACUUGCUAAGGUCACUUUUGCCUUUUCUACACACAAAAGCUGUACUGGUUUAAUUAACCUAUAUAGUAAAGUGAUAUGCACAAACCCC
This is a long non-coding RNA of Dermochelys coriacea (leatherback sea turtle), 7559 nucleotides long. RefSeq lists it as uncharacterized. NCBI's taxonomy places the organism in Eukaryota, Metazoa, Chordata, Testudines, Dermochelyidae. The transcript is spliced from 2 exons. The record is from RefSeq and is a predicted model, not a curated record.